CCUUCUGAGUCACGGAAAGUCAGUUGAUCAGGAACUGUAACUGUAUCUGUACAGUCCCUUCCCUUUUGCACUUUCUAUGGUGAAUACAAGUUACAGGUCUCACUCACACUCACAGAAAGAUUUCAGAGAGGAGACACAGAGGUCAAGAAAGUAAAGUGAGGAUUUACGAAGCGACAGCGCACUCUCAUUGCGGGACCGGGCAGACUCAUGGCACUUGUCACCCCAAAAUGUGUGGUUUCCUGUCAGUCCAGAGGUUCCUUUCUCUGUCUGUCCAAGGGCCACCGUUGUCUACAAGCUGUACGGUUUCCUGCCAUCUGGCCCGUGCCCCGCCUCCUCUGCGCGUAUCUAGCCACCUGCCUGCUGUAACACCAUGGCCCACUACUCGCUUUGUACAUGUAGAUCUGGACUGUGUAAACUGUCAAUAAUACACCAUCUGGCGUAUAA
Orcinus orca (killer whale) is the source of this 444-nucleotide long non-coding RNA. RefSeq lists it as uncharacterized. The transcript has 2 exons. Lineage: Eukaryota; Metazoa; Chordata; Mammalia; Artiodactyla; Delphinidae. The record is from RefSeq and is a predicted model, not a curated record.